RNAcentral lists this ribosomal RNA (97 nucleotides) under Pediculus humanus corporis (human body louse). Lineage: Eukaryota; Metazoa; Arthropoda; Insecta; Psocodea; Pediculidae. The record is from RNAcentral.
GCCAACGGCCAUAGCGUGCUGGUCACACCGGUUCCCGUACGAUCACCGAAGUUAAGCAUUAUUAUUAUUAUUAUUAUUAUUAUUAUUAUUAUUAUCU